Molecule: ribosomal RNA, 253 nt
Filed under: uncultured bacterium
Lineage: Bacteria
Description: partial 16S ribosomal RNA
Rfam family: Bacterial small subunit ribosomal RNA
Source: RNAcentral
UACGUAGGGGGCAAGCGUUGUCCGGAUUUAUUGGGCGUAAAGAGCGUGUAGGCGGCCAGGUAGGUCGGUUGUGAAAACUCGAGGCUCAACCUCGAGAUGUCGACCGAAACCAUCUGGCUAGAGUCCGGAAGAGGAGAAUGGAAUUCCCGGUGUAGCGGUGAAAUGCGCAGAUAUCAGGAAGAACACCCGUGGCUAAGGCGGCUCUCUAGUACGGUACUGACGCUGAGACGCGAAAGCGUGGGGAGCGAACAGG